CAGAUGAUAUAGAUGAGGCGGAGUUUGACACAAGCAUGUAUCAUUUCAGUGAGGCAUAUACCUCGAGCGAGGGAUAGCAAGAGUUUGAGCGAAGCUCACAGGAACAACAACAAGCUGCAGAAGUGGUGCAAGAAACAGGAUAAGUUACUCGCCAAAUGCCUCAUGGCUAUCAAGUUUCUGAAGGACAAGAUCAGCUGCUCCUCUUCCACUACAGCUAUUCCG
RNAcentral lists this microRNA precursor (222 nucleotides) under Arabidopsis thaliana x Arabidopsis arenosa. Its description in RNAcentral is "MIR854". It matches the Rfam family "MIR854 microRNA precursor family". Lineage: Eukaryota; Viridiplantae; Streptophyta; Magnoliopsida; Brassicales; Brassicaceae. The record is from RNAcentral.